GGGGAUAUACCUCAGUUGGUAGAGGGCUUGCCUUGCAUGCGCAAGUUCCUGGGUUCAAUCCCCAGCACUUCCA
Molecule: transfer RNA, 73 nt
Filed under: Marmota marmota marmota (Alpine marmot)
Lineage: Eukaryota; Metazoa; Chordata; Mammalia; Rodentia; Sciuridae
Also listed under: 1 other name
Rfam family: tRNA
About the family: Transfer RNA (tRNA) molecules are approximately 80 nucleotides in length. Their secondary structure includes four short double-helical elements and three loops (D, anti-codon, and T loops). Further hydrogen bonds mediate the characteristic L-shaped molecular structure. tRNAs have two regions of fundamental functional importance: the anti-codon, which is responsible for specific mRNA codon recognition, and the 3' end, to which the tRNAs corresponding amino acid is attached (by aminoacyl-tRNA synthetases). tRNAs cope with the degeneracy of the genetic code in two manners: having more than one tRNA (with a specific anti-codon) for a particular amino acid; and 'wobble' base-pairing, i.e. permitting non-standard base-pairing at the 3rd anti-codon position.
Source: Rfam by way of RNAcentral